Molecule: ribosomal RNA, 433 nt
Filed under: uncultured bacterium
Lineage: Bacteria
Description: partial 16S ribosomal RNA
Rfam family: Bacterial small subunit ribosomal RNA
Source: RNAcentral
AACGAACGCUGGCGGCAUGCCUAACACAUGCAAGUCGAACGAGACCUUCGGGUCCUGUCGCGCACGGCUGCGUCACGCGUGGGAACCUUCCCUUAUGUUCGGAAUAACUCCCCGACUGGGGUGCUAAUACCGGAUCAUGUCUUCUGACCAAAGAUUUAUCGCCUUUGGUUGGGCGCUCGUUGGAUUAGCUAGUUGUUAGGGUAAAAGCAUACCAAGGCGACGAUCCAUAGCUGGUAUGAGAGGCUGAUCAGCCACACUGAGAGGGAGACACGGCCCAGAAUCCUACGGGAAGGAGCAGUGGGGAAUAUUGCACAAUGGGCGAAAGGCUGAUCCAGCAAUGACGCGAGAGCGAUGAAAGCAUUAGAGUAGUAAAGCUCUUUUACCCAGGAUGAUAAUGACAGUACCGAGAGAAUAAGCUCCGGCUAACUCCGUG